Molecule: non-coding RNA, 559 nt
Organism: Camellia sinensis
Lineage: Eukaryota; Viridiplantae; Streptophyta; Magnoliopsida; Ericales; Theaceae
Source: RefSeq, a predicted model, not a curated record
GAGCCCAAAAAUAUCUAAGGGAGAAAGAGAGGGAGAGAGAGAGAGACACGAGAGAGAAAGAGAGUUCUAGAGAGAACUCAAAGAGAAGAAGGGAGAAAGUGUAGGAAUGAAAGAGGAAAUCCAAGAUUUAGCUGGAAUUCACCAUGGUUAUGCAAGAACAUGUGGUGUUAAAGGUUUAAGAAGUGUUAUGGUUCUUAAAGAGGCUAAAGAGGAUUUCACCAUGUCAAGACGAAGACAUUGUCCAACUGUUACCGAAAGCCCAUCACUGUGAGCCAUCGGGGAUCAACACUAGAGUUUGUACCGAGGUUCGCCUCUCUGUCAAGCCACCCGAGAAGUGUCUCCGUGUAGAGAUAUAGUAUAAGUUACCAAGCUUAGGUUUGUUCAGGCUAUGAUGGCUUUUGUUGCGUAUUAGGUUCAUAUGUAAUUUUGGGUUGAGAACUUUUGCCUAUACUUAUAUGUCUUGGACAGUAUAUACAUGAACUGCGUAUGUGAUAUUUGUAUAAAUGAUGUAAUGUUUAGGAUCCUGGCAUUUAAGCAUUGCUCAAUAGAUGUUCUGUUG